Molecule: transfer RNA, 73 nt
Filed under: Ornithorhynchus anatinus (platypus)
Lineage: Eukaryota; Metazoa; Chordata; Mammalia; Monotremata; Ornithorhynchidae
Rfam family: tRNA
About the family: Transfer RNA (tRNA) molecules are approximately 80 nucleotides in length. Their secondary structure includes four short double-helical elements and three loops (D, anti-codon, and T loops).
Source: Rfam by way of RNAcentral
AGUGGCGUGGCUUAGUGGCUAGAGCACGGGCCUGGUAGGCACAAGGACCAGGGUUCUAAUCCCAGCUCCGCCG